Molecule: ribosomal RNA, 771 nt
Filed under: Triticum aestivum (bread wheat)
Lineage: Eukaryota; Viridiplantae; Streptophyta; Magnoliopsida; Poales; Poaceae
Description: partial small subunit ribosomal RNA
Source: RNAcentral
AUGAGCGUCUUUAUGCUCUCCAGAGGUUUCUGUGACAAAUAUGAGAAAAUGAGUUGGAACUUUUGGUGGGGUGACGAUGAGGGGCAUAGGAAGGUGCAUUGGAUGGCGUGGGAUCGCAUGAUCAAGCUAAAGAGGGAGGGGGCAUUGGAUUUAGAGACAUGCAUUUGUUUAAGCAAGCGCUCCUGGCCAAGCAGGGAUGGAGGCUCAUUCAAAAUCCAGAUAUCCUGUGUGCAAGAGUACUCAAGUCAAAGGUCUUAUGACUGCUGUGUCCAGAGAGAUCAAUGGAUCCCAAGGAAAGAGGGCCUUAUGACUGCUGCCUUCAUUAGGAGAUCCCGGAUUAGAUGGGUCAACCAACUUAUGUUGUCCGAUAAUAAGGAAUGGAAUGUGCCUCUCAUCAGGCAAAUAUUCUAUCCCUUUGACGCUGAUGAGAUCUGCAAGCUAAAUAUCCCUUCUUCGGAGGUGGGCGACUGUAUUGCUUGGCAUUAUGAGAAGAAUGACAUUUUCUCAGUCAAGAGUGCAUAUAGACUUGCGGCUACUAACCUAGAGCAAGUGUCUCACACCCCGUCGAGCUCCACUAGGGACCCAAAUGAUCGUAGCAUCUGGGAUCUCAUUUGGAAAACAAAAGUCCCCAGGAAGAUCUGCAUCUUUGCUGGGAGGGUUGCAACUAAUACCCUGGCCACCAAGAAAACAAAUGGAAGAGAACGUUGGAAGUUGAUGCCACCUGCAGCUUAUGUGGCAAUGGUGUCGAGGACGAACACCACGCGGUUAUAG